AGACCCGAAACCCGGUGAUCUAGCCAUGGGCAGGUUGAAGGUUGGGUAACACUAACUGGAGGACCGAACCGACUAAUGUUGAAAAAUUAGCGGAUGACCUGUGGCUGGGGGUGAAAGGCCAAUCAAACCGGGAGAUAGCUGGUUCUCCCCGAAAGCUAUUUAGGUAGCGCCUCGUGAAUUCAUCUCCGGGGGUAGAGCACUGUUUCGGCUAGGGGGCCAUCCCGGCUUACCAACCCGAUGCAAACUGCGAAUACCGGAGAAUGUUAUCACGGGAGACACACGGCGGGUGCUAACGUCCGUCGUGAAGAGGGAAACAACCCAGACCGCCAGCUAAGGUCCCAAAGUCAUGGUUAAGUGGGAAACGAUGUGGGAAGGCCCAGACAGCCAGGAUGUUGGCUUAGAAGCAGCCAUCAUUUAAAGAAAGCGUAAUAGCUCACUGGUCGAGUCGGCCUGCGCGGAAGAUGUAACGGGGCUAAACCAUGCACCGAAG
This 490-nucleotide ribosomal RNA is filed under the name Salmonella enterica subsp. enterica serovar Berta. RNAcentral's name for it is "partial 23S ribosomal RNA". It matches the Rfam family "Bacterial large subunit ribosomal RNA", at positions 711 to 1199 of the family's 2925-position model. RNAcentral also lists the same sequence under 10 other names. The record is from RNAcentral. Lineage: Bacteria; Pseudomonadati; Pseudomonadota; Gammaproteobacteria; Enterobacterales; Enterobacteriaceae.